GGCAUUGGUGGUAAUCUAGUAGCUAUUCAAGCUAGCAGAAUUUCUACCUACCUCCAUUUACACAGCAUUCCUGGAGAACUGCCGGAAGAAGCAAAGGGUUGCUAUUAUCCAUGCAAAACCUAUUAUGGCACAGGAGUGAAUAACAAAUCAGCCCAAGUUCUGCUUCUUCUGGUGAUUCCCGGACACCUAAUUUUCUUGUACACUAUCCAUUUAAUGAAAAGCGGCCAUACUUCCUUAACUCCCAUCUUCAUAGCAGUAUAUUUGUUUGCAGCUCUGCUACAGGUGUUUACUCUACUAUGGAUUGCUGACUGGAUGGUCCACCACUUCUGGAAAAAAGGAAAGGAUCCUGACAGUUUUUCUAUCCCUUAUCUUACUGCACUGGGAGAUCUGCUUGGAACUGCCUUGUUAGCCCUGGGUUUUCAUUUUCUGUGGCUCAUAGGUGACAGAGAUGGGGAUGUUGGAGACUAAUUGUUCUAGUGGAUGCAAUCGAUGACUUUUUUUCCCAGAAUAUUGAGAAGACAAAUCGUUCCACUUGAAGAUCCUCAAGACUAUUGUUCCAUUUAGUAUGAGUAGAUCAAACUGACACAGAUAUAAAAAAGCCUUAACAUUUUGGGGG
This is a non-coding RNA of Tinamus guttatus (white-throated tinamou), 616 nucleotides long. The record is from RefSeq and is a predicted model, not a curated record. Lineage: Eukaryota; Metazoa; Chordata; Aves; Tinamiformes; Tinamidae.